Long non-coding RNA from Esox lucius (northern pike), 205 nucleotides. RefSeq lists it as uncharacterized. The record is from RefSeq and is a predicted model, not a curated record. The transcript has 3 exons. NCBI's taxonomy places the organism in Eukaryota, Metazoa, Chordata, Actinopteri, Esociformes, Esocidae.
CAGAAGUCAAGGGUCAUGUCAGGUAGGGAGGUACUGAUGGUACAUGACCUUCAAAUGGCAGGGCUACAGAAGUAAAGGGUCAUGUCAGGUAGGGAGGUACUGAUGGUACAUGACCUUCAAAUGGCAGGGCUACAGAAGUAAAGGGUCAUGUCAGGCAGGGAGGUACUGCUCCAUAUCAGCUGUUCUGGGCAGACUUACAGUGUGG